CUAAGUUUGAUGGCGACCGGCGCACGGGUGAGUAACACGUAUCCAACCUGCCGAUGACUCGGGGAUAGCCUUUCGAAAGAAAGAUUAAUACCCGAUAGUAUAAUGAUUCCGCAUGGUUUCAUUAUUAAAGGAUUCCGGUAAAGGAUGGGGAUGCGUUCCAUUAGGUUGUUGGUGAGGUAACGGCUCACCAAGCCUUCGAUGGAUAGGGGUUCUGAGAGGAAGGUCCCCCACAUUGGAACUGAGACACGGUCCAAACUCCUACGGGAGGCAGCAUG
This 275-nucleotide ribosomal RNA is filed under the name uncultured bacterium. Its description in RNAcentral is "partial 16S ribosomal RNA". It matches the Rfam family "Bacterial small subunit ribosomal RNA", at positions 79 to 353 of the family's 1533-position model. The record is from RNAcentral.